AUUGAACGCUGGCGGCAUGCUUUACACAUGCAAGUCGAACGGUAACAGGCCGCAAGGUGCUGACGAGUGGCGCACGGGUGAGUAAUGCAUCGGAACGUGCCCAGUCGUGGGGGAUAACUACUCGAAAGAGUAGCUAAUACCGCAUACGAUCUAUGGAUGAAAGCGGGGGACCGUAAGGCCCCGCGCGAUUGGAGCGGCCGAUGUCAGAUUAGGUAGUUGGUGGGGUAAAGGCUCACCAAGCCAACGAUCUGUAGCUGGUCUGAGAGGACGACCAGCCACACUGGAACUGAGACACGGCCCAGACUCCUACGGGAGGCAGCAGUGGGGAAUUUUGGACAAUGGGCGCAAGCCUGAUCCAGCAAUGCCGCGUGCAGGAAGAAGGCCUUCGGGUUGUAAACUGCUUUUGUACGGAACGAAACGGCUCUGGUUAAUACCCGGGGCUAAUGACGGUACCGUAAGAAUAAGCACCGGCUAACUACGUG
Molecule: ribosomal RNA, 482 nt
Filed under: uncultured bacterium
Lineage: Bacteria
Description: partial 16S ribosomal RNA
Rfam family: Bacterial small subunit ribosomal RNA
Source: RNAcentral